RNAcentral lists this transfer RNA (73 nucleotides) under bacterium. RNAcentral describes it as "tRNA-Glu". It matches the Rfam family "tRNA". From Rfam's summary of the family: Transfer RNA (tRNA) molecules are approximately 80 nucleotides in length. The record is from RNAcentral.
GCCGAAUUCGUCUAGUGGCCCAGGACGCUAGGUUCUCAGCCUAGAAACACGGGUUCGACUCCCGUAUUCGGUA